This 168-nucleotide ribosomal RNA is filed under the name uncultured bacterium. Its description in RNAcentral is "partial 16S ribosomal RNA". It matches the Rfam family "Bacterial small subunit ribosomal RNA", at positions 338 to 498 of the family's 1533-position model. The record is from RNAcentral.
CCUACGGGAGGCAGCAGUGGGGAAUUUUGGACAAUGGGCGCAAGCCUGAUCCAGCAAUGCCGCGUGCAGGAUGAAGGCCUUCGGGUUGUAAACUGCUUUUGUACGGAACGAAACGGCUCUCUCUAAUAAAGAGGGCUAAUGACGGUACCGUAAGAAUAAGCCCCGGCU